Molecule: ribosomal RNA, 629 nt
Filed under: Dothideomycetes sp. genotype 279
Lineage: Eukaryota; Fungi; Ascomycota; Dothideomycetes
Description: eukaryotic LSU rRNA
Rfam family: Eukaryotic large subunit ribosomal RNA (bases 155-629)
Source: RNAcentral
CUCAAGCGCGAGCUUGGUGUUGGGGACCGCCCCGGGAGACCGGCGGCGGCCCUUGAAUCCAUCGGCGGUGCUGGUAGCAGCCCGGAGCGCAGCAGACAUGCGGCUUCCCGGGCGGCCCGGCGCCCGCCGGACAACGACGAGACCCUCCAAACGUCGACCUCGAAUCAGGUAGGGAUACCCGCUGAACUUAAGCAUAUCAAUAAGCGGAGGAAAAGAAACCAACAGGGAUUGCCUCAGUAACGGCGAGUGAAGCGGCAGCAGCUCAAAUUUGAAAUCUGGCGCCCCCCGGCGUCCGAGUUGUAAUUUGCAGAGGAUGCUUCGGCGUAGGCGCCGCCCAAAGUUCCUUGGAACGGGACGUCGCAGAGGGUGAGAGCCCCGUGUUCGGGCGGAUGCCUUCGCCGUGUGAAGCUCCUUCGACGAGUCGAGUUGUUUGGGAAUGCAGCUCAAAACGGGAGGUAAAUUUCUUCCAAAGCUAAAUACCGGCCGGAGACCGAUAGUGCACAAGUAGAGUGAUCGAAAGAUGAAAAGCACUUUGGAAAGAGAGUCAAACAGCGCGUGAAAUUGUUGAAAGGGAAGCGCUUGCGGUCAGAACUUGGCCGCCGUUGCUCGGGGAGGCCUCGCGCCUCCCU